RNAcentral lists this long non-coding RNA (246 nucleotides) under Oncorhynchus mykiss (rainbow trout). Its description in RNAcentral is "lncRNA (ENSOMYG00000077810.1)". Lineage: Eukaryota; Metazoa; Chordata; Actinopteri; Salmoniformes; Salmonidae. The record is from RNAcentral.
CAGUCACUCCAGAUCUUUCUGAUGACCUCAUCACCAGGCCUCCACUCAUGGACUUACUCACCCAGCAUCUUCAGCAUGGCUGCACUCAGCCGGUUCCACUCCCCUGGCAUGGCGGCACCCUCCUUGGCAACGGUGCAGUUUAACGUGAUACCACUCAUGUCCCCCAGAGGGCACAGCUUCCUGCCCUCGCCCAACAGCACUGCCAACGAGUCUGCUUGUUCCAGAGAUGAAGCCCAUGGUGCCUGA